GACUUUUGCAGGGCUGUGCCUCCUUUCCUCCCCAGACAAAAUCCAUCACGUCAGCAGUCACAGGGCACCCUGGUUCCCUCUCUGAAUGAACUGUUAAAUGACUAAGCUGGCUCCCAACAGAGGCAGAGCCCAGCAAUAUGCGGCCUGUAAUCUGUCAGAUGAUACAGCAACAGGCCCAGUGAGGGGCCCGACACACCCCCCAGGAGAGUGGAGUCUCUCACUGCAUGUGACGUGGAAGACGCCGAAGAGGUGAGGGAGGCACCAUAUGCUGCGGGCCUGCCAAGGGAGAAUAAACAGCACCGGCAGCCUGGCACAGAGCUCUGGCGGGAACGUCCACCAAGAUCGGUCAGGCACUCUCAUGGCGUCCUCCUGGAUACAGGCUUUUGCUUUUGUUUUUAAUUUUGGAGCAGUGAAGCCGAAAGUGAGGAGUGAGGACAAGGAGAAGACCCAUUUGCUCCUGUUCAUUCAAACAGCAUCUCUUCAUUUUGAAAUUGGCAAGAGGCAGUUCGGGGCUGUGGCAGGUCCUGUACACCACCUGUUGCCUCCCAAGUCACUGUGCCUUUCUGGCUUUCUUUACCUAUGUCCUGUAAAACGCCAGUUAAUAAAUGCUCCAUAUGCAGCACCCGUUGGUUUGCAAACUCCGUAGAAGAACUUCUGAUAAUCCCACAUCUCUGAACUUGAUUUAGGGCAAGAACUCUACAUCUUCAACAUUUUGUAGAGCAUUCCCUGCGAUGUGGAAAAUUCUGCUGGGCUAUUCCCUGAGGACACCUCUACCUUUCGUGUCCAGAAUUGGUGGGUUCUUGGUCUCACUGACUUCAAGAAUGAAGCCGCGGACCCUCGCAGCUCAAGCAUAUCUGAAUCGAGAAAAGCAGACAUGAUUGAAGCGCAUUUAUCUCCACUAAUUAAGAGGCUUAUGCCAGGCUGAGCUGAGAUUGUAACACCAGAUGAGCCUCCAUUUCAUCCCGCUACACCUGGAGAAGCUCCUGUGGGAGGAAGACUCAUGGAGACACUUUAAACUGGAAGCAAGAGACCCCAGGGAAGAGUGUUCUUAGGCAGAGGGAACAUAACAUGCUAACGUGCUAUGAGGGGACAUUGGUGUGCAAGUGGCAAAAAGAGUCCUGUCCCAGCACUGCAAGGGGAAGAUAAAGGCUCGUCAUCUGUGCGUGCGUCCAUCUGAGUGGAACGUGUGUCCCGGGGGCUGCUGCCACCGCGCCGGUCCCUCCUGUAAUCCGAGCCCGUGUCAGAGGACGCGGCGCCUGCAAGGAAGAAGGGUUGCCGCAGGUGUGGCCAGAUCCUCUAGGCAAGAGGUGUGGAUUCAGGUCCUACUAGUCUUACUCCUGAUGAAGCUGGGCAAAUCAGUUGGCUCUGGAGUAAUUAGUAGCCCCUUCCUCACUGACCAUUGCAAGUGCACACUGCAGCCUCAAAACUGAGUGGAGGGCCUCCUUUGGAUGACAUGAGACUGCUCAUCGUCAAGAGAACAAUUGAGUUUCUAUCUGACCUAUCUGAAAGUGGAUAGUUGUGCGACCUCAAGCAAGCCACUUCUUUCUUCUGGAUUUGGAGUUUUGUAAUCCAUAUAGCGAACCCACCCCAGUGACCCUGGCAUCUUGCUCUUUCUCAAACCCUGUAGGAGUCCUCAUGCCUCUGCUUCCAAGGCUCCUUCUAUCAUGUUCCCCUUCCCUCAGAUAUCUGCAGCCUCACUUCUUUAUGCCAAAGCGUGUAUCAUUGUUUAGCCUAUUUUACUUUUUUAAAACUUUAUUUUUAGAGCAGUUUUACAUUUAUGAAAGAUUGCACAAAAAAUAAAGUUCCCCUAUAACCCUUCCUCCCCAUC
Molecule: long non-coding RNA, 1828 nt
Filed under: Homo sapiens (human)
Lineage: Eukaryota; Metazoa; Chordata; Mammalia; Primates; Hominidae
Description: PREDICTED lncRNA (TCONS_00091948)
Source: RNAcentral